This 450-nucleotide ribosomal RNA is filed under the name uncultured bacterium. RNAcentral describes it as "partial 16S ribosomal RNA". It matches the Rfam family "Bacterial small subunit ribosomal RNA", at positions 354 to 796 of the family's 1533-position model. The record is from RNAcentral.
GUGGGGAAUAUUGGACAAUGGGCGAAAGCCUGAUCCAGCCAUGCCGCGUGUGUGAAGAAGGUCUUCGGAUUGUAAAGCACUUUAAGUUGGGAGGAAGGGCAGUAAGUUAAUACCUUGCUGUUUUGACGUUACCAACAGAAUAAGCACCGGCUAACUUCGUGCCAGCAGCCGCGGUAAUACGAAGGGUGCAAGCGUUAAUCGGAAUUACUGGGCGUAAAGCGCGCGUAGGUGUUUCAGCAAGUUGGAGGUGAAAUCCCCGGGCUCAACCUGGGAACUGCCACCAAAACUACUGAGCUAGAGUACGGUAGAGGGUAGUGUGAUUUCCUGUGUAGCGGUGAAAUGCGUAGAUAUAGGAAGGAACCCCAGUGGCGAAGGCGACUACCUGGACUGAUACUGACACUGAGGUGCGAAAGCGUGGGGAGCAAACAGGAUUAGAUACCCCGGUAGUCC